GGAAUAUUGCACAAUGGGCGCAAGCCUGAUGCAGCAACGCCGCGAGAGUGAAGAAGUAUUUCGGUAUGUAAAGCUCUAUCGGCAGGGAAGAAAGGCCCGAAAGGGAGAUGACGGUACCUGACUAAGAAGCCCCGUCUAACUACGUGCCAGCAGCCGCGGUAAUACGUAGGGGGCAAGCGUUAUCCGGAUUUAUUGGGCGUAAAGCGAGCGCAGGCGGUUUGAUAAGUCUGAUGUGAAAGCCUUUGGCUUAACCAAAGAAGUGCAUCGGAAACUGUCAGACUUGAGUGCAGAAGAGGACAGUGGAACUCCAUGUGUAGCGGUGGAAUGCGUAGAUAUAUGGAAGAACACCAGUGGCGAAGGCGGCUGUCUGGUCUGCAACUGACGCUGAGGCUCGAAAGCAUGGGUAGCGAACA
This 413-nucleotide ribosomal RNA is filed under the name uncultured bacterium. RNAcentral describes it as "bacterial SSU rRNA". It matches the Rfam family "Bacterial small subunit ribosomal RNA", at positions 358 to 774 of the family's 1533-position model. The record is from RNAcentral.